This 707-nucleotide ribosomal RNA is filed under the name Grimontia marina. Its description in RNAcentral is "bacterial SSU rRNA". It matches the Rfam family "Bacterial small subunit ribosomal RNA", at positions 68 to 769 of the family's 1533-position model. Lineage: Bacteria; Pseudomonadati; Pseudomonadota; Gammaproteobacteria; Vibrionales; Vibrionaceae. The record is from RNAcentral.
UCUUCGGAUGAUUUAUUGGGCGGCGAGCGGCGGACGGGUGAGUAAUGGCUGGGAACCUGCCUGGUAGAGGGGGAUAACCACUGGAAACGGUGGCUAAUACCGCAUGAUGUCUUUGGACCAAAGAGGGGGACCUUAUGGCCUCUCGCUACCGGAUGGGCCCAGUUGGGAUUAGCUAGUUGGUGGGGUAAAGGCUCACCAAGGCGACGAUCCCUAGCUGGUUUGAGAGGAUGAUCAGCCACACUGGAACUGAGACACGGUCCAGACUCCUACGGGAGGCAGCAGUGGGGAAUAUUGCACAAUGGGCGCAAGCCUGAUGCAGCCAUGCCGCGUGUGUGAAGAAGGCCUUCGGGUUGUAAAGCACUUUCAGCCGUGAGGAAGGCAUUGUACUUAAUACGUGCAGUGUUUGACGUUAGCGGCAGAAGAAGCACCGGCUAACUCCGUGCCAGCAGCCGCGGUAAUACGGAGGGUGCGAGCGUUAAUCGGAAUUACUGGGCGUAAAGCGCAUGCAGGCGGUCUGUUAAGCAAGAUGUGAAAGCCCCGGGCUUAACCUGGGAAAGUCAUUUUGAACUGGCAGGCUAGAGUCUUGUAGAGGGGGGGUAGAAUUUCAGGUGUAGCGGUGAAAUGCGUAGAGAUCUGAAGGAAUACCGGGUGGCGAAAGGCGGCCCCCUGGACAAAGACUGACGCUCAGAUGCGAAAGCGUGGGGAGC